CGCUACAGCAACCGCCACAGCAAUCGCUACAGCAAUCGUGACAGCAACCGCCAUAGCAACCGCCGUAUGCCCAACCGGCAGGACAUACACCGUAUCAGCCGCACGUAUCGCAGCUGAAUUAGCUGUACGAGCCUGAGGAGCAGAACUCAUACAGGGCAAAACAGUUACUAAUUCGCCAGUACAGGCGAAAAAUGAAUCGGCUGCGGCGUGAAACAGCGCCAUGGUCCAGCCGCGGUCGCAGGAUGGCAAUGUAGACGAUCGUGGUCGCGGCUGUAAUGGCCGAAACAUAUCAUUUUAUUUCUAAUUUUAUUUUUCUUAUUAUUAUUAUUUUUCUUCUUCUUCUUCUUCUUCUUCUUCUUAUUAUUAUUAUUAUUAUUAUUAUUUUUUUUUUAUUUUUUUUUUUAGAGGUGGAAAUGCAUUACGCAGACCCCCGCAACGUAUUGCGGAGGGACUGUGGGACUCUCCCUCCUGCAAUUAUGCUGAAGGGCCUACCCACUAAAACCACCUCUGACCCCACAUAUGGGCCCAGACCGGAAUCCGCUCAUCGCAUUACUUCGGUCUGGGUCCGUGGCGUGCUGGCCUGCGCAGACAGUAGGCCUCCUCUAUUCUACAGGACCUGGACGGGGGUCCUGUAGACAUCCAUCGACCCUCUUCGCCACCAGGACAGAGGUCGCGAACGCCGCGACCGCGUCCCACAGUUCUACGCUCCGCAGCAUCACCCCCACGAUGUUUCGGGGGCGAUGUCGUGGUCAGCUGCGUUGGCCACUGCGGAGCGUUCCUCGCUAAAGCGAGCACAAACGAAGAACGUGUGGAACGCGUCGUCUCGCUCGGCGUCGCAGUAAUAGCACGUCGGGGACCUGACUUUGGCCAUCCGGUACAGGUAGUUCCGGAAGUAGCCGUGUCCUGACAGGAGCUGGCUGAGGUAGAAGUCUACCUCGCCGUGAGCGCGCUCCUGCCAGGGCCUCAGGUCCCCGAUUAGCCGGGCUGUCCACCGGCCCGUGCUGCCCGCGGUCCAGCGACGCUGCCACUCCGAGUGGGUUUCAGCGCGCGCUAUACCCGCGGCCUCUGUCCUGUCCAUCUCCGAGCUCAGCUCGAAGAUCCUCCUCCUCUCCUUGGCGAGAAGAUCGAUGGGGAGGAUCCCAGCGAUCGCGAGCACUGCAAGUGCGGAUACUGUACGAUAACAGCUAACGACUCGCAGCGCUCCGCGACGCUGAACGGAGGCCAUGCGUGUCCUGUAUUUCUUGAUGUCCAAGGCCCCGGCCCAUAUCUCAGCUCCGUACAGGAGCAUGGACUGGACCGUGGACAUCAAGAGCCUACGUUUCCCAGGCCUCGG
Osmia lignaria (orchard mason bee) is the source of this 1333-nucleotide long non-coding RNA. RefSeq lists it as uncharacterized. NCBI's taxonomy places the organism in Eukaryota, Metazoa, Arthropoda, Insecta, Hymenoptera, Megachilidae. The record is from RefSeq and is a predicted model, not a curated record.